Molecule: ribosomal RNA, 792 nt
Filed under: Triticum aestivum (bread wheat)
Lineage: Eukaryota; Viridiplantae; Streptophyta; Magnoliopsida; Poales; Poaceae
Description: partial small subunit ribosomal RNA
Source: RNAcentral
AUGAGGUAUGAUGCAAUCAAAUUAGCAAUUGAGGCUAAGCUUACAUAUGAAAAAUUAAAUUGUGAACAGAGUGCCAUAUAUGACGAGAUUGUACAUGCUGUUCAUGUCGGGAAAGGUGGCCCUUUUUUUAUAUCGGGUUAUGGUGGGACUGGUAAAACAUUUCUUUGGAAUUCUAUCAUUUCCAAUUUACGAUCAGAAAGAAGAAUUGUUCUUGCUGUUGCUUCUUCGGGCGUUGCAUCUUUACUCCUGCCUGGUGGUCGCACAGGUCAUUCUAGGUUCAGGAUACCUGUUGACAUUACUGAUCGCAGUCAGUGUAGCAUUUCCAGAAAUUCUCAUUUGGCUGAAUUGUGUCAGAAAGCUUGCUUGGUUCUUUGGGAUGAAGCUCCUAUGACACACCGUUGGUGUUUCGAAGCCCUUGAUCGGACUUUGAAAGAUGUUCUUUCUGUUGAAAAUAAGGAAAAUGCUCUGCUACCUUUUGGUGGAAAGGUUGUCGUGCUUGGUGGUGAUUUCAGACAGAUAUUACCGGUUAUAGAGGGUGGCGCGAGGGAUGAUAUCAUUAAUGCAUCUUUGAUUUCUCCGUUGUGGCAACAUAUAAAAGUUUUGAAACUUCAUUGCAAUAUGCGUCUUCGAUGUCCUGGUUUAUCUCAUAAUGAAAGAGCAGAGCUUUCUGAAUUUUCUGAAUGGGUACAGAGUAUUGGAACUGGUUCUGUUCCUAUGCACUGUAAAGGUGAUGAAUCUGUGCCGUCUUGGAUUCAAAUACCUGGUGAUUUAUUGCUUCAGCCUAAAGCAGAC